UACGGAAGGCAGCAGUGGGGAAUAUUGCACAAUGGGCGCAAGCCUGAUGCAGCCAUGCCGCGUGUAUGAAAAGGCCUUCGGGUUGUAAGUACUUUCAGUCGUGAGGAAGGUGUUAAGGUUAAUAACCUUAGCAAUUGACGUUAGCGACAGAAGAAGCACCGGCUAACUCCGUGCCAGCAGCCGCGGUAAUACGGAGGGUGCGAGCGUUAAUCGGAAUUACUGGGCGUAAAGGGCACGCAGGCGGUUAAUUAAGUUGGAUGUGAAAUCCCCGGGCUUAACCUGGGAAUGGCAUUCAAGACUGGUUAGCUAGAGUCUUGUAGAGGGGGUAGAAUUCCAUGUGUAGCGGUGAAAUGCGUAGAGAUGUGGAGGAAUACCGGUGGCGAAGGCGGCCCCUGGACAAAGACUGACGCUCAUGUGCGAAAGCGUGGGGAGCAAACAGGGAUUAGAUACC
Molecule: ribosomal RNA, 451 nt
Filed under: uncultured bacterium
Lineage: Bacteria
Description: bacterial SSU rRNA
Rfam family: Bacterial small subunit ribosomal RNA
Source: RNAcentral